This 1041-nucleotide long non-coding RNA is filed under the name Oryctolagus cuniculus (rabbit). Its description in RNAcentral is "lncRNA (ENSOCUG00000032981.1)". The record is from RNAcentral. Lineage: Eukaryota; Metazoa; Chordata; Mammalia; Lagomorpha; Leporidae.
GAUCCCAGCCUUCUCUAUGUUUGCUGAGUCUAGCUGUGCAAGUCUUCAUUAUCUCCGGUAAUGGGUAUGGGUUCUUUCACCAACCCAUACUUGAUGGCUUUAUGGGGUUCUCUCCAAGAUUCAGGCUUUACAAGUUGCAAUCCUCAAGAGCUCUUACUCUUUAAAGUCCAAGUUUAAAUCAUGACCCAGAGGUCCUAGAACAGCACAGAGCACAUGGUGUUUUCUUUCCUACUACUUGUGUUCAGGGUUAUCACUCGUCAUGCUUAGGCACCACUGUGGCCUCACAGGAUGAAAGCUCCCUCCACUUACGUUCUCCUCUCUUGCUCGUGAAUUGUACUGUUUCUUUGCAGGUGAAUCUUAAGUAGGCCCUGAAAAGAGGAACUCAUGGUCAGAUUUCACCCUUGGCUCCCAAGUGAAUGACGCAGAACACCGUGGAAAGCCGUGUCAACACAAUCACUGUCACUAAUGAUUAUUUAUCCAGUUCCAACCCUGCUGCUCUUCUCUGCAGGCUGUGUGCUGGCGAGCGCUGCGUGGGUAACAAAUACGGGUCCCAAUGUCACGAAAACAGGACGACAGCCUUAUGCAAGUGUGGAAGCUAAUCCUUCUGAGGCCCUGGAUCAUGUUAGCUACUGUUGAGUCAGUCCCAGUGCCUUUAACUCAUUACCUCUGCUCACGGGACCACCCUGCCAAGCAGGCACACGAGGCCAUGAAUGCAGCUUGAGAGCAGCUGCAAGCCAUUCUGCCUGCACUCUUGAGCCUGGAGGAGUUGCUGUGGGGACCCAAGUUCACCCUGAAGAUGUGCUUGUCUACUGAGGGCAGCCGAGCACCCGGGGUGACCUUGCCUUGUUCUGGGCGUGAGGACAAGGUUUGCAUCUGACAGCGGGAGGCUGUGGAGCAAGGGGUGAUGCCCGGGGCCCUGGGGGGGGGGGGUCUGCCUCCCUGCUCUGCAGACCCUAUUAAUCUUUCCAAAGGGAGGAAGUCAUUCCCUUUGGAUGGAGACAGCUCUCUACAUUCUUGAAAUAAAUGAAGGCAAAAUGUACA